This 472-nucleotide ribosomal RNA is filed under the name uncultured Pseudomonadota bacterium. Its description in RNAcentral is "bacterial SSU rRNA". It matches the Rfam family "Bacterial small subunit ribosomal RNA", at positions 356 to 850 of the family's 1533-position model. The record is from RNAcentral. Lineage: Bacteria; Pseudomonadati; Pseudomonadota.
UGGGAAUAUUGGACAAUGGGCGAAAGCCUGAUCCAGCAAUGCCGCGUGAGUGAUGAAGGCCCUCGGGUCGUAAAGCUCUUUUACCCGGGAUGAUAAUGACAGUACCGGGAGAAUAAGCUCCGGCUAACUCCGUGCCAGCAGCCGCGGUAAUACGGAGGGAGCUAGCGUUGUUCGGAAUUACUGGGCGUAAAGCGCACGUAGGCGGCCAUUCAAGUCAGAGGUGAAGCCCGGGGCUCAACCCCGGAUUGCCUUUGAACUAGAUGGCUGGAAUCUUGGAGAGGCGAGUGGAAUUCCGAGUGUAGAGGUGAAAUUCGUAGAUAUUCGGAAGACACCAGUGGCGAAGGCGACUCGCUGGACAAGUAUUGACGCUGAGGUGCGAAAGCGUGGGGAGCAACAGGAUUAGAUACCCUGGUAGUCCACGCCGUAAACGAUGAUGACUAGCUGUCCGGGCACUUGGUGCUUGGGUGGCGCA